CAGCCUGCUGGUCCCUGCAGGGCUGGGGUGGGGCCGGCACUUUCGGGCCCCCAGCUGUGAACGUGAGGGGUCUGCCCCACGGGUUGCAGGGCUGGGGGCCUUGCUCAGGUCAAGAAGUGGCUGUGGUGAACAGAGAGUCUCUCGUCUGAGCGUGUGGCCCGUGGGCCGUGUGGCAGCCUCAGACAAGGACCUCACCCCCGCCUGUGCUCCGGGAAAGCACGGAGGGUAGCAGGGCCCCUGGGGUGGGCACUGAGGGGGCGGGUUCCAUCCCCCCAGGACUUCUCCUACGAUGAGUCCAAAGUGGAGUUUGACGUGGACGCGCCCAGUGGGGUGGUGAUGGAGGGCUACCUCUUCAAGAGGGCCAGCAACGCUUUCAAGACGUGGAACCGGCGCUGGUUCUCCAUUCAGAACAGCCAGCUGGUCUACCAGAAGAAGCUCAAGGAUGCCCUCACCGUGGUGGUGGAUGACCUCCGCCUGUGCUCUGUGAAGCCGUGUGAGGACAUCGAGCGGAGGUUCUGCUUCGAGGUGCUGUCACCCACCAAGUGAGGAGGCCCAGCCCAGGGUGGGGUGGGGGGCGUACCUGCCCACCGGAGCUGACGCCCGCCCCUCCACUGCCUGCAGGAGCUGCAUGCUGCAGGCUGACUCCGAGAAGCUGCGGCAAGCCUGGGUCCAGGCUGUGCAGGCCAGCAUCGCCUCCGCCUACCGCGAGAGCCCUGACAGUUGCUAUAGCGAGAGGCUGGACCGCACAGCAUCCCCGUCCACGAGCAGCAUCGACUCCGCCACCGACACUCGGGAGCGCGGCGUGAAGGGCGAGAG
RNAcentral lists this small RNA (816 nucleotides) under Pan troglodytes (chimpanzee). Its description in RNAcentral is "retained intron". The record is from RNAcentral. Lineage: Eukaryota; Metazoa; Chordata; Mammalia; Primates; Hominidae.